CAGGUGUUCAAAAGGCCCUGUCUAUGACAUCACUUGCUGCUGCAGCUUGACACAGGUCAGAGUAUUUUGGUGGGUGCCAUCUUCAAACGGUCGUAUCUUAAAAACUAUAACUCCUACAGCGAAGAGCUUUAUAUUGUGAGAAUCACAAGACCCAGACCUACAUUUUGAUGCAUAGUAUGUCUCUGAAGUAUUAAAAAUGAAGGCACAGUCGCAGUUUAGAAAUUGCACUUCAAAUUUGAGCUUUGCAGAGUGAAGUUUCAAUGAAUGUCAAU
Pelobates cultripes (western spadefoot toad) is the source of this 272-nucleotide non-coding RNA. The record is from the annotation of a GenBank genome assembly. Lineage: Eukaryota; Metazoa; Chordata; Amphibia; Anura; Pelobatidae.